GGGUCAGUAGGUUGGUCGUGCCACUGGUACGUACUGGUCUCACUGAUUCCUCCUUCCUGAAGAACCGUAAUGCCAUUAAUUUGGUGUUGCGGGGAAACAGGACUGUUACUUUGAAAAAAUUAGAGUGUUUAAAGCAAGCUAACGCUCGAAUACAUUAGCAUGGAAUAAUGAAAUAGGACGAUCGAUCCUAUUUUGUUGGUUUCUAGGAUUGACGUA
Molecule: ribosomal RNA, 216 nt
Filed under: Glomeromycotina sp.
Lineage: Eukaryota; Fungi; Glomeromycota
Description: partial small subunit ribosomal RNA
Rfam family: Eukaryotic small subunit ribosomal RNA (bases 40-216)
Source: RNAcentral